UACGUAGGGGGGCAAGCGUUGUCCGGAUUUAUUGGGCGUAAAGAGCGUGUAGGCGGUUUGGUAGGUCCGUUGUGAAAACUCGAGGCUCAACCUCGAGACGCCGAUGGAAACCAUCAGACUAGAGUCCGGAAGAGGAGAGUGGAAUUCCUGGUGUAGCGGUGAAAUGCGCAGAUAUCAGGAAGAACACCCGUGGCUAAGGCGGCUCUCUAGUACGGUACUGACGCUGAGACGCGAAAGCG
RNAcentral lists this ribosomal RNA (239 nucleotides) under uncultured bacterium. RNAcentral's name for it is "partial 16S ribosomal RNA". It matches the Rfam family "Bacterial small subunit ribosomal RNA", at positions 524 to 761 of the family's 1533-position model. The record is from RNAcentral.